UGGGGAAUAUUGCACAAUGGGCGCAAGCCUGAUGCAGCCAUGCCGCGUGUGUGAAGAAGGCCUUCGGGUUGUAAAGCACUUUCAGCGAGGAGGAAGGUGGUGAACUUAAUACGUUCAUCAAUUGACGUUACUCGCAGAAGAAGCACCGGCUAACUCCGUGCCAGCAGCCGCGGUAAUACGGAGGGUGCAAGCGUUAAUCGGAAUUACUGGGCGUAAAGCGCACGCAGGCGGUUUGUUAAGUCAGAUGUGAAAUCCCCGGGCUCAACCUGGGAACUGCAUUUGAAACUGGCAAGCUAGAGUCUCGUAGAGGGGGGUAGAAUUCCAGGUGUAGCGGUGAAAUGCGUAGAGAUCUGGAGGAAUACCGGUGGCGAAGGCGGCCCCCUGGACGAAGACUGACGCUCAGGUGCGAAAGCGUGGGGAGCAAACAGGAUUAGAUACCCCUGGUAGUCCACGCUGUAAACGAUGUCGAUUUUGGAGGUUGUGCCCUUGAGGCGUGGCUUCCGGAGCUAACGCGUUAAAUCGACCGCCUGGGGGAGUAC
RNAcentral lists this ribosomal RNA (539 nucleotides) under uncultured bacterium. RNAcentral describes it as "partial 16S ribosomal RNA". It matches the Rfam family "Bacterial small subunit ribosomal RNA", at positions 355 to 883 of the family's 1533-position model. The record is from RNAcentral.